AGGGAGCUGAUAUAUUGCAGUCCUAUCAGGACUGCAAGUCUGCAACCAGGAAACAACGAUGGUUGCUUCUUUCUUUGCCCCUGCUAGCCAUUGGAACGUUUGGGAAAGCAUGUUGUUGAUCUGGAUAGCCCCUUCCAGGACAUCUUCGUGCAUUGUUGCGUUGUUGGGCAUGGAAGAAACAGGGUAUAUUUACAAUUGCAUUUGCCCCACUGACUGCUGCGUAUCUUCCCCUCCAUUGAUUAUCAAAUGAAUUCCAUUUUGUGCAUCUGCUGAUGUGAAGGAAGACGGUGGUAAGCAAAGUGAUAUGAAGGUGGCAUCGAUGUCAUUAUGUAGCUUCUUUUGUCAGGGUUUAACAUGACUUAUGUGAGCUAUAUUUAUCUCGACUUGAAUUGUGUAUACACUAGGCUUCGCAUGUUAUUAGAGUGUCCCGUCCAUGUAAUGUACUUGGCCAUGAACUCAACCUUUUAUUUAUGUCUUUAUG
This is a long non-coding RNA of Lolium rigidum, 481 nucleotides long. RefSeq lists it as uncharacterized. The record is from RefSeq and is a predicted model, not a curated record. Lineage: Eukaryota; Viridiplantae; Streptophyta; Magnoliopsida; Poales; Poaceae. The transcript has 3 exons.